GGAAGGAGGGGGACCUCAUGCAGCAGCGUGCUGUGAAUGGCUUGCAGAGGAAAUGAAAAAAAUUAGGGGCCUGGUCCAAAGCCCACUGAAGUGAAUGCCUCUGCCCCGUGCUGCAUCCCAUUUCCUGAAGAAUGAGAUAUCUGUAGAAUGGAGACAUCUUGUCGCAGCCAUUGAUUUGAAGACAAAGACCUGAAACUGUACAUUGUUUUCAGAAACAUCCCUCUCCAUAUCAGCUCUCAACGAUUGAAGUUAAAGAAAACAAAGGUGCAGUUAGGAACUGGGACCCUUUGUUGAUUGAUUACCUGCACUGAGUACCUGCUUAACAUGGAUUUUACACUCUAACAUACCCUGGGCUUCUGAGAGGAAGGUGAAGAAAACCCCAUCUGACCCAGGCAAAGUUAGGAGUGAGGAGAAAAUUCCUUCUGAGUCCCAAAAAGCUGUUCUGAUUCUCUCACUAGAAACCCAGUACCAUGUGACCAAUCAGCUCUCCACAGGCCACCAGCAAUCCAUGGAUUACAGUUUUAAAACCACUGCUGUACUAAAGGAGACAUCAAGAUGUUAAUCUGAGUAUUAUGGGAUGGAGCCUUAUUCCAUCCCCUUCGUUCCUGAUAAGUCAGUAGGAGUUUUCUUCCCCACUCUGUUGUUUUGGAGUUCAGUAAAGAAGCAAGUUCCCAGCCUGCAGUCCUAUAUUAUGACCUCUCUGCUUUGAAGACUUAACUCAUUCACUGUAUAGUACUGCUGUUUCUAUAAUAUUCAUGAUUAUGGAAAGCAGUUGAACUUAUCUGCAAAUGUUGGUGGAGAAAAAUCAAACAUAAUUCAUACAGUGUAAUUUGUCAAUAUUCUAGUUAAUCAAAUUUAAUCUGCUGAGACAGAUUAAUGUUUAUUAAUUCCAUACUGGUAUUUGGAUAAAAGAGAAAAUAUAUCAUCUCACACUUUGGAGAAUUUUUUUGUUUACUUCUUCUGAUGAAUAUUGUUUAAAACAUCAUAAAGUAGUUCAGUUUACCACAUUGGAUUGGAUCCACCUACCGGAGAAGACAGUGGAAAAUUCCCACUUCAAUAACAUUUAU
Molecule: long non-coding RNA, 1067 nt
Organism: Mauremys reevesii (Reeves's turtle)
Lineage: Eukaryota; Metazoa; Chordata; Testudines; Geoemydidae
Exons: 7
Source: RefSeq, a predicted model, not a curated record